RNAcentral lists this ribosomal RNA (418 nucleotides) under uncultured archaeon. RNAcentral describes it as "partial 16S ribosomal RNA". It matches the Rfam family "Archaeal small subunit ribosomal RNA", at positions 323 to 746 of the family's 1478-position model. The record is from RNAcentral.
CUACGGGCCGCAGCAGUCGCGAAACCUUUACAAUGCGCGAAAGCGUGAUAAGGGGAUUUCGAGUGCUUGCGUUGCAAGCUUUUGCAAAGUGUAAAAAGCUUUGCGAAUAAGUGGAGGGUAAUAUACGUGCCAGCCGCCGCGGUAAUACGUAAUCCACUAGUGGUGCCCACUAAUAUUGGGCCUAAAGCAUCUGUAGCCGGUUCAAAAAGUUUUUGGUGAAAUCAAUGAGCUUAACUUAUUGAAUUGCCAAAAAUACUCUUGAACUCGAGGCCGGGAGAGGUUAGGGGAAUUCCAGGAGUAGGAGUGAAAUCCAGAGAUCCUUGGAAGACCACCCGUAGCGAAGGCGCCUAACCAGAACGGACCUGACGGUGAGAGAUGAAAGCUGGGGGAGCGACCCGGAUUAGAUACCCUGGUAGUC